CAAUAGCGUAUAUUUAAGUUGUUGCAGUUAAAAAGCUCGUAGUCGGAUUUUGGCUGAGAACGAUCGGUCCGCCGUUAGGUGUGCACUGAUUGGUCUCAGCUUCCUGGUGAGGAGGUGUGCUUCACGGCCACUUAGUCACCGUGGUUACUUUGAAAAAAUUAGAGUGUUCAAAGCGGGCUUACGCCUGAAUAUAUUAGCAUGGAAUAACACCAUAGGACUCCUGUCCUAUUUCGUUGGUCUCGGGACGGGAGUAAUGAUUAAGAGGAACAGUUGGGGGCAUUCGUAUUUCAUUGUCAGAGGUGAAAUUCUUGGAUUUAUGAAAGACGAACUUCUGCGAAAGCAUUUGCCAAGGAUGUUUUCAUUGA
Molecule: ribosomal RNA, 365 nt
Filed under: uncultured eukaryote
Lineage: Eukaryota
Description: partial 18S ribosomal RNA
Rfam family: Eukaryotic small subunit ribosomal RNA
Source: RNAcentral